UAUUUUUUCUUCAUUUCAAUUGUUAAAUUUCAUGAUUGUUUCAUUUAUCUAAUGAAAACUUCCUUAUUUAUUUAUAUUACAAUUAAUAUUUAUCUUUCAAUUGUAUGGAAAAUAUAGAUCAACAUGAAUAAUCGAAUAAAUAGUCAUGAAUUUUUUUUUCAAUUAUUCAGUCAAAACUACAGCUUAAAGCAGUAACUUCUCUGAGCAGAAAUAAAUUUCAAACAAAGAAAAUCCCAAGAUGAACUUCAACUAUAUUGUUUUGGUUAUAAGUGCCAUGUUUGCAUUGAUGUUUGCUGCAACAGAAGUAUCAGCUUGUAAACCAAGAUGGGCCAAUGAUUGUACAUCCGAUGGGGAAUGUUGUUCGGGUUGGUGUAACACCAACAAUGGUGCAUGGCGCCAAGGUGUUUGUGAUUACAAAUAAAUACCAACCAACAUUGAUUUUUUUUUUUUUUUCAUUUUGCAUAUUUAAAAAUGUUAUAAUUUAAAUUUUAUAAAAUUAAAAUGAUAAUUAUUAUCUAUUAGAAAAAAAAAAAAAAAAAAAAAGGUUUAAAAUAAUUUAAAAAAUAUUAUAUUGAUAUAUGAAAAUAAUAUAUUAUAUAUAUAUAUAUAUAUAUAUUUAAAGUGUUCAUAUAAAGUCAAAAUAUAAGCUUUUUUUGUUUUUUCUGAAUCAACAUUGAAAGAUUUUUUAAAUUAUUUAAAUAAAAAAUGAAAUUGGCCAGUUUAAUACCGA
Aphidius gifuensis is the source of this 730-nucleotide long non-coding RNA. RefSeq lists it as uncharacterized. Lineage: Eukaryota; Metazoa; Arthropoda; Insecta; Hymenoptera; Braconidae. The transcript has 2 exons. The record is from RefSeq and is a predicted model, not a curated record.